CGGUUGUGGCAAGCGUUAUCCGGAAUUAUUGGGCGUAAAGCGUCCGCAGGCGUCCUUGAAAGUCUGUCGUUAAAGCGUGGAGCUUAACUCCAUUUCGGCGGUGGAAACUACAAGGCUUGAGUGUGGUAGGGGCAGAGGGAAUUCCCGGUGUAGCGGUGAAAUGCGUAGAUAUCGGGAAGAACACCAGUGGCGAAGGCGCUCUGCUGGGCCAUAACUGACGCUCAUGGACGAAAGCUAGGGGAGCGAAAGGGAUUAGAUACCCCUGUAGUCCUAGCCGUAAACGAUGAACACUAGGUGUCGGGGGAAUCGACCCCCUCGGUGUCGUAGCUAACGCGUUAAGUGUUCCGCCUGGGGAGUACGCACGCAAGUGUGAAACUCAAAGGAAUUGACGGGGGCCCGCACAAGCGGUGGAGUAUGUGGUUUAAUUCGAUGCAACGCGAAGAACCUUACCAGGGUUUGACAUCCUGCGAAUCCCUUGGAAACUUGGGAGUGCCUUCGGGAGCGCAGAGACAGGUGGUGCAUGGCUGUCGUCAGCUCGUGUCGUGAGAUGUUGGGUUAAGUCCCGCAACGAGCGCAACCCACGUCUUUAGUUGCCAGCAUUUAGUUGGGCACUCUAGAGAGACCGCCGGUGAUAAACCGGAGGAAGGUGUGGAUGACGUCAAGUCAUCAUGCCCCUUACAUCCUGGGCUACACACGUACUACAAUGCUACGGACAAAGGGUUGCAAACUCGCGAGAGCUAGCUAAUCCCAUAAACCGUGGCUCAGUUCAGAUCGUAGGCUGCAACUCGCCUACGUGAAGGAGGAAUCGCUAGUAAUCGCAGGUCAGCAUACUGCGGUGAA
Molecule: ribosomal RNA, 840 nt
Filed under: uncultured cyanobacterium 25/5-3
Lineage: Bacteria; Bacillati; Cyanobacteriota
Description: bacterial SSU rRNA
Rfam family: Bacterial small subunit ribosomal RNA
Source: RNAcentral